This 251-nucleotide ribosomal RNA is filed under the name uncultured bacterium. Its description in RNAcentral is "partial 16S ribosomal RNA". It matches the Rfam family "Bacterial small subunit ribosomal RNA", at positions 526 to 776 of the family's 1533-position model. The record is from RNAcentral.
CGUAGGGUGCAAGCGUUGUCCGGAAUUAUUGGGCGUAAAGAGCUCGUAGGCGGUUCGUCGCGUCGGCUGUGAAAACCUGAGGCUCAACCUCAGGCCUGCAGUCGAUACGGGCGGACUUGAGUACUGCAGGGGAGACUGGAAUUCCUGGUGUAGCGGUGAAAUGCGCAGAUAUCAGGAGGAACACCGGUGGCGAAGGCGGCGAUCUGGGUCGAUACUGACGCUGAGGUGCGAAAGCGUGGGGAGCAAACAGG